RNAcentral lists this ribosomal RNA (417 nucleotides) under Triticum aestivum (bread wheat). RNAcentral describes it as "partial small subunit ribosomal RNA". The record is from RNAcentral. Lineage: Eukaryota; Viridiplantae; Streptophyta; Magnoliopsida; Poales; Poaceae.
GUACUCCUCAAGCUGGACCUUGCCCGCGCUUUUGACUCCAUCUCUUGGCCCUUCCUCUUCGAGGUUCUUCGCCAAUAUAGUUUCAGCAACAAGUUCAUGGAUUGGCUGGCUAUUCUGCUCAGUUCCGCGAGCACUCGGGUCAUUAUCAACGGCGAGCCAGGAUGGCACCGUCGUGGCCUCCGGCAUGGGGACCCCUGUCCCCCAGCUUUUCGUCCUCGACAUUCUAUGCCGCCUGAUCAGGCGUGCCGCCACUCUCGGCAUCCUGCAACAGCUCCACUCGUGGCGCCAAGUUCCUUAAAUCUUGGUAUACGCCGAUCUAGUACUUUUUUGCCACCCACUCCCCAGCGACAUCGCCUCUAUGAAGGAAAUCCUACACAUAUUUGGACGCUCCUCUGGCCCGCUGUUAACUACAACUAG